Molecule: long non-coding RNA, 1664 nt
Organism: Zea mays
Lineage: Eukaryota; Viridiplantae; Streptophyta; Magnoliopsida; Poales; Poaceae
Exons: 3
Source: RefSeq, a predicted model, not a curated record
UUUUCAGAUUGCUCUUUGCAUCUGAUUUUUGGCUUUGCUUUCCCCGUAUGUCUCAAGUCUAGUUACCAUUUAUGGCUUUCGCACCUGUAAACAUUUAUGGUUGCUUUUGUUGAUUCAUACUAGCAUCUAUGCUAAUUUUUUUAAUGCACGACCUUAAUCCUACUUUUAUGUGUAUUUAUGAUCAAUCACCAUGUAUUUUACGCUCUUCGGUUUUUUAUGUCAAAAAAUGGGUUUUUACGCUGAUUUAUAUGUGUGCCUAUGCUGCAACACAUACAAUUCUAACUAAAUAUGCAUAAAGCAGCGCGCCAGCACCUCAUAUUUUAUUCUCAUCUUUUCUACUUCGUUAAUUCAUUGACCCAUGUCUCUGUCCUGGUAUAUUCUGGAGACAGAUCCCCACGUCCAGAGUUACAAGAUCAAGCUUGGUUGUGGCUGCUGCUGUGUUGCCUCCUCUUGUUGGACCGAAGAGAGGGAGGGGAGAAGCAGCUGGCGUGCAGACUUCUACUCAGGUGGCCUUUUAUUCUCUAUGGGGCUUCUAGGAUACAUCUUCUCCAGAAGCACCAUAAGUCUUGUCUUGGGCAUUACACCAGGGCUAGCCACUCUGCUACUUGGCACUCUCAGUCUGAAGUUCUGGAGGAGCGACAGAUCCAGCUUCCUGCUUAUCUUGUCUCAGGCAGGUAGAAUGAAUUUUAAGCAACUAGUUGUAUGGGACCUGGAAGUCUUUUUAUGUCUUCUAGUGUACUUCACUAUGCACUUAUUUCUAUCUCAAGAAUUGCUGCUAUGAUUAGUCAGCGGUUAGUGACACUUGUUUUUCCCCACUAUUGCUUUUUUAGAGGUGAUGCUGAUGUGCAAGCAUCUUCACCUUGAGUUCUGCCUUGCCAGAAUGAAUCAAGUUUAUUUUCUCAUCCUGCUCCAUUUGAGGUAGCCCAAUCGUCUGUCCUCACAUCAACUUUCACCUGCCUUAAGCCUUUAGGUUCAUUUGUCUUAUAUAUACCAUGGUAAACCACACCAUGAAUAUGCCAUAAAUAAGUAACAAGAGUGUAUAGCAACUCAGCACACACAGGAAGUCAGGAUCCUUCACGUACAUCUUUCAUGUUAUUGCAACCUUGAUUCUACAUGCUUCAGGUAGUCUAGAAUAUCAGAUUGUUGUAUAUAUUUAACACCUUCUGUACCAUCAAAUUCAGAAAUGCACUCAAGAAAAGGCUUUUCAAAACUCUUAGAAUGUAUUCCAAGAGCAGUGCACAUAUUUAGAAGCUAAUUAUGUAAUUUCUUAUAUGUUGCUUUGAGGCAAAUUGAACAGGGAUUUGUUUGGCUUCCAAAUGGUUUGUUGGUCCUAAAAUAGUCAGAAUCACAUGACAUCUGUGCUAUAGAUAUGGACCUCGGUGGUUUUCUCCACAUUAGGAAAGCUGGAAGAGCCUUUUUGAACUCAGUUUUUUUGCUAACAGUGGUGUUAUGGUGAAACAGAGUUUUGUGUGUAUGUACCAACAGCUAAAAUGUAAACACGACAUUAUCAUAGUUGAGUACAGGAAUAAUUAUCUCUUAUAUCUUAUUGCAAAAUCUGAAACAGUUCUCCUGUAGAUGGUUAGCUUGCAUUUUACGCUACAAUUACCUCAGAUCACUUGUAUCUUACACCAAUUUACGAAAUUUGUUGAUGCGUUUUAUGACAA